GGCUCUUAGUGACCUUCAGAUAAGCAUUCCCACCCACCCAUCUUUCAGAUGAGGCGGGGUGGCGUGAGUUACAGCGAAAGAGUGGCUGAACCAGGAUUCUGGACUCUAACGCCUGCCCGCUAUAGUGACCACUGCAUCUGUUUUUUAAGGAUAAACUCAGCCCCACAUAGAAGUGGCUGGCCCCAAGAAGCAAAGCAAGUCACCUGCAAGCCAGGAAGCAAGAGAUAAGACUCCAGGCUCCCAAGCGAUGGCGAUGGCCAUGACAUUUCCCUUCUCGGCCCCUCCCCAUCCCCCCAAAACAAAACACAGAAGAGGAGGUUCUGGUCUUUAUUAGCAAGCCCGGCCUGCAGCUCCCCUCCCCCCAGCCCAACCAGGCAGACAGAAAGUCGGGGUCUCUGUGUGGGGCAGGAAGAGGUACCAGUGGUUCUACUCAAAACGUGUGCACCAGCUGGACUGUGGGCAGAGUCUGGACAAUCUGGAUGGAGGGCAGGCUCUGUGGGGUCAUGCCCCCAGGCGCAGUUCCUGCAGGGACCACUUGUACCAUCUGGGAAGUGGGAGCCGCAGGGAUGCCCGCGGGGAGCGAGGCUGGGCCAGGUGGCGGUGGGGCCAGCAGCUGCAGCGUGGCGGCGCCUCCCCCAACGCUGCUGUUUUCCAGCAGCUCGGUGGCCGGGGCACUGCGGAUGAUGAGCAGUUUCUGUCCCGAGGGGCCGGGGGCAGGCGGCUCAGCCAGCCCCGGGGAGAGGGUCUCUACCUCCUGCACACACAGCUGGGUCUGCUCCCCAUCGGCCCCGCUCAGCACCAGGACGCUCUGCAAUCCCUCGUCAGUCUGCAGCGUCUCAAAGAGCACAUCCUGGACCACACCAGCGCUGGCCUCGCCGUCACCCGGCUCCCCAGGGCUGGGGCCCGCCAGUAAUUCCUCUGCUGCUCCACUCUGAACCACCAGCAGGUUGGGGGCCUCAGUGGUCACUGUUCCUGCACUAGGAUUGGACAGCUGGCCCGCCACAGACUGGAGUUGGACCGUGGUCACUUCCUGUGCCGGCUGCAGCUGGACCGUGGUCACCUCCUGUGCCUGCUGGAGCUGGACCGUGGUCACCUCCUGUGCCUGCUGGAGCUGGACCGUGGUUACUUCCGGGGCUGGCCGGAGGGGCUGGAGCUGGACCCCACUCAUUUCCUGUGGCCCCGCCUCCCCACUCCCUACAUUCUGCAGAACGAUGAGGCUCUGUCGUCCCGCGGGGGCCGACGGGAAGGCGGGGCCCCGGCAGCGGCGGGGCAGGAGUGGGGGCCGGGGAGGGGGGCGGGGGCGCGCUCCCUCCCAACGGCCCCCGGCGCGAGGCACCCA
RNAcentral lists this long non-coding RNA (1339 nucleotides) under Equus asinus (donkey). Its description in RNAcentral is "lncRNA (ENSEASG00005030284.1)". The record is from RNAcentral. Lineage: Eukaryota; Metazoa; Chordata; Mammalia; Perissodactyla; Equidae.